RNAcentral lists this non-coding RNA (87 nucleotides) under Litoreibacter arenae. Its description in RNAcentral is "Thalassobacter arenae Glycine sequence". It matches the Rfam family "Glycine riboswitch aptamer". From Rfam's summary of the family: This family represents the bacterial glycine riboswitch. Glycine riboswitches usually consist of two metabolite-binding aptamers domains with similar structures in tandem. The record is from RNAcentral. RNAcentral also lists the same sequence under 1 other name. Lineage: Bacteria; Pseudomonadati; Pseudomonadota; Alphaproteobacteria; Rhodobacterales; Roseobacteraceae.
GACGCCACGUCGGGAGAACCAGCUAGGCUGGUGCCGAAGGAGCAACCGCCCCGGAAACUCUCAGGCCAAACGGACCGACGUUGCUGA